This 1399-nucleotide ribosomal RNA is filed under the name uncultured bacterium. RNAcentral describes it as "partial 16S ribosomal RNA". It matches the Rfam family "Bacterial small subunit ribosomal RNA". The record is from RNAcentral.
AGAGUUUGAUCCUGGCUCAGGAUAAACGCUAGCGGCAGGCUUAACACAUGCAAGUCGAGGGGCAGCGAGGAGUAGCAAUACUCUGUCGGCGACCGGCGCAAGGGUGCGUAACGCGUGAGCAACUUGCCCUGGACAGGGGGAUAAGCAUUGGAAACGAUGUCUAAUACCCCAUAACAACAGACCUUACAUGGGGUUUGUUUGAAAGGUAUUUAUACCGGUUUAGGAUGGGCUCGCGUAACAUUAGUUAGUUGGUAGGGUAACGGCCUACCAAGACUACGAUGUUUAGGGGAACUGAGAGGUUGGUCCCCCACACUGGAACUGAGACACGGUCCAGACUCCUACGGGAGGCAGCAGUGAGGAAUAUUGGUCAAUGGCCGGAAGGCUGAACCAGCCAUGCCGCGUGAAGGAAUGAGGCCCUAUGGGUCGUAAACUUCUUUUGUAAGGGAGCAAUAAGGGUUAUGUAUAGCCCGAUGAGAGUACCUUAUGAAUAAGCAUCGGCUAACUCCGUGCCAGCAGCCGCGGUAAUACGGAGGAUCCGAGCGUUAUCCGGAUUUAUUGGGUUUAAAGGGAGCGUAGAUGGAUGUUUAAGUCAGUUGUGAAAGUUUGCGGCUCAACCGUAAAAUUGCAGUUGAUACUGGAUGUCUUGAGUGCAGUUGAGGCAGGCGGAAUUCGUGGUGUAGCGGUGAAAUGCUUAGAUAUCACGAAGAACUCCGAUUGCGAAGGCAGCCUGCUAAGCUGCAACUGACAUUGAGGCUCGAAAGUGUGGGUAUCAAACAGGAUUAGAUACCCUGGUAGUCCACACGGUAAACGAUGAAUACUCGCUGUUUGCGAUAUACGGCAAGCGGCCAAGCGAAAGCGUUAAGUAUUCCACCUGGGGAGUACGCCGGCAACGGUGAAACUCAAAGGAAUUGACGGGGGCCCGCACAAGCGGAGGAACAUGUGGUUUAAUUCGAUGAUACGCGAGGAACCUUACCCGGGCUUAAAUUGCACUCGAAUGAUCCGGAAACGGUUCAGCUAGCAAUAGCGAGUGUGAAGGUGCUGCAUGGUUGUCGUCAGCUCGUGCCGUGAGGUGUCGGCUUAAGUGCCAUAACGAGCGCAACCCUUGUUGUCAGUUACUAACAGGCGAUGCUGAGGACUCUGACAAGACUGCCAUCGUAAGAUGUGAGGAAGGUGGGGAUGACGUCAAAUCAGCACGGCCCUUACGUCCGGGGCUACACACGUGUUACAAUGGGGGGUACAGAGGGCCGCUACCACGCGAGUGGAUGCCAAUCCCUAAAACCCCUCUCAGUUCGGACUGGAGUCUGCAACCCGACUCCACGAAGCUGGAUUCGCUAGUAAUCGCGCAUCAGCCACGGCGCGGUGAAUACGUUCCCGGGCCUUGCACACACCGCCCGUCAAG